AGAGUUUGAUCCUGGCUCAGGACGGACGCUGGCGGCGCGCCUAACACAUGCAAGUCGAACGAGCGAGAGAGAGCUUGCUUUCUCAAGCGAGUGGCGAACGGGUGAGUAACGCGUGAGGAACCUGCCUCAAAGAGGGGGACAACAGAUGGAAACGACCGCUAAUACCGCAUAAGCCCACAGCUCGGCAUCGAGCAGAGGGAAAAGGAGCAAUCCGCUUUGAGAUGGCCUCGCGUCCGAUUAGCUAGUUGGUGAGGUAAUGGCCCACCAAGGCGACGAUCGGUAGCCGGACUGAGAGGUUGAACGGCCACAUUGGGACUGAGACACGGCCCAGACUCCUACGGGAGGCAGCAGUGGGGAAUAUUGCACAAUGGGGGAAACCCUGAUGCAGCGACGCCGCGUGGAGGAAGAAGGUCUUCGGAUUGUAAACUCCUGUUGUUGAGGAAGAUAAUGACGGUACUCAACAAGGAAGUGACGGCUAACUACGUGCCAGCAGCCGCGGUAAAACGUAGGUCACAAGCGUUGUCCGGAAUUACUGGGUGUAAAGGGAGCGCAGGCGGGAAGACAAGUUGGAAGUGAAAUCUAUGGGCUCAACCCAUAAACUGCUUUCAAAACUGUUUUUCUUGAGUAGUGCAGAGGUAGGCGGAAUUCCCGGUGUAGCGGUGGAAUGCGUAGAUAUCGGGAGGAACACCAGUGGCGAAGGCGGCCUACUGGGCACCAACUGACGCUGAGGCUCGAAAGUGUGGGUAGCAAACAGGAUUAGAUACCCUGGUAGUCCACACCGUAAACGAUGAUUACUAGGUGUUGGAGGAUUGACCCCUUCAGUGCCGCAGUUAACACAAUAAGUAAUCCACCUGGGGAGUACGACCGCAAGGUUGAAACUCAAAGGAAUUGACGGGGGCCCGCACAAGCAGUGGAGUAUGUGGUUUAAUUCGACGCAACGCGAAGAACCUUACCAAGUCUUGACAUCCUGCGACGCACAUAGAAAUAUGUGUUUCCUUCGGGACGCAGAGACAGGUGGUGCAUGGUUGUCGUCAGCUCGUGUCGUGAGAUGUUGGGUUAAGUUCCGCAACGAGCGCAACCCUUACUGUCAGUUACUACGCAAGAGGACUCUGGCAGGACUGCCGUUGACAAGACGGAGGAAGGUGGGGAUGACGUCAAAUCAUCAUGCCCUUUAUGACUUGGGCUACACACGUACUACAAUGGCGUUAAACAAAGAGAAGCAAGACCGCGAGGUGGAGCAAAACUCAGAAACAACGUCCCAGUUCGGACUGCAGGCUGCAACUCGCCUGCACGAAGUCGGAAUUGCUAGUAAUCGUGGAUCAGCAUGCCACGGUGAAUACGUUCCCGGGCCUUGUACACACCGCCCGUC
This 1369-nucleotide ribosomal RNA is filed under the name uncultured bacterium. RNAcentral describes it as "bacterial SSU rRNA". It matches the Rfam family "Bacterial small subunit ribosomal RNA". The record is from RNAcentral.